UUAAUACCGGAUAGAUCAAAGAUACUGGAAUGUUCUUUGUUCGAAAGCUCCGGCGCCCAAGGAUGGGUCUGCGGCCUAUCAGGUAGUAGUGGGUGUAACGUACCUACUAGCCUACGACGGGUAAGGGUUGUGAGAGCAAGAGCCCUGAGAUGGAUUCUGAGACAUGAAUCCAGGCCCUACGGGGUGCAGCAGGCGCGAAAACUUUACACUGCGGGAAACCGCGAUAAGGGGACCCCGAGUGCCAGCACCUAGUGCUGGCUGUCCAGCUGUUCAAAAAACAGUUGUUAGCAAGGGCCGGGCAAGACCGGUGCCAGCCGCCGCGGUAACACCGGCGGCCCGAGUGGUAGCCGUUAUUAUUGGGUUUAAAGGGUCCGUAGCCGGCCUAUUAAGUCUCUUGGGAAAUCUGGCGACUCAAUCGUCAGGCGUUCA
RNAcentral lists this ribosomal RNA (429 nucleotides) under uncultured archaeon. RNAcentral describes it as "bacterial SSU rRNA". It matches the Rfam family "Archaeal small subunit ribosomal RNA", at positions 146 to 576 of the family's 1478-position model. The record is from RNAcentral.